GGGUUGCGGACAGUGUCUGGUGGGUAGUUUGACUGGGGCGGUCUCCUCCCAAAGAGUAACGGAGGAGCACGAAGGUUAGCUAAUCCUGGUCGGACAUCAGGAGGUUAGUGCAAUGGCAUAAGCUAGCUUGACUGCGAGCGUGACGGCGCGAGCAGGUGCGAAAGCAGGUCAUAGUGAUCCGGUGGUUCUGAAUGGAAGGGCCAUCGCUCAACGGAUAAAAGGUACUCCGGGGAUAACAGGCUGAUACCGCCCAAGAGUUCAUAUCGACGGCGGUGUUUGGCACCUCGAUGUCGGCUCAUCACAUCCUGGGGCUGAAGUAGGUCCCAAGGGUAUGGCUGUUCGCCAUUUAAAGUGGUACGCGAGCUGGGUUUAGAACGUCGUGAGACAGUUCGGUCCCUAUCUGCCGUGGGCGCUGGAGAAUUGAGGGGGGCUGCUCCUAGUACGAGAGGACCGGAGUGGACGCAUCACUGGUGUUCGGGUUGUCAUGCCAAUGGCAUUGCCCGGUAGCUAAAUGCGGAAGAGAUAAGUGCUGAAAGCAUCUAAGCACGAAACUUGCCCCGAGAUGAGUUCUCCCUGA
Molecule: ribosomal RNA, 577 nt
Filed under: Klebsiella aerogenes
Lineage: Bacteria; Pseudomonadati; Pseudomonadota; Gammaproteobacteria; Enterobacterales; Enterobacteriaceae
Description: bacterial LSU rRNA
Rfam family: Bacterial large subunit ribosomal RNA
Source: RNAcentral